UGCUGGAAAGCUAGCCCUAGUCGUGUAGAGAAGGGGGAGCCAGAUGGCUGACCAGCUCAGCUACUACCCAGGCCCAGUUUAGGACUCCUGAAUUGAUCCACUCCAAGUUCAAUAUAACCUGUGAGUCAUUGAGACAACUGAAAGAGCCAGUCCUACUAUCCCAAAGUUGCAGUAUCGUCAUGACACAGGACAACAGCAGGGUAAUCUGGAAGAGUCCUGAUGAGGAUCCAAUAUUAAUGGUGUCAUAGAAGGCAGAGAUCUUGAACCAGACAGUGACUCACUGCAAUGAACAUUUGCAAGUGCAAAGGAACAGAUUGGACUGCAUUAAAAUUCCUGUGUUUCUGGACUUCACAAUGUAUAUAGUUAAUGCUUUACAAAGAGUGUUCGCCAGCCUAGACAGAAGAGAAUGACCUGAAGGAGAACCACAAUCACAUGUUCUGAGUGCCUGCAACAGAGACUCAAACUUUUCUAGGACAGCUGUCUCAUUUCCAUCUGAUCUCUUGGAGUCUGCUUCUGGGUCAAUGUGGUGAUGUGUCAGCCAGAGCCCUCUUACUGUUCUACAGUUGCGUACAGCCUGCUUAUAUACCACAGUAUGGGAGUUCAAAUCAAUAUACCUUACAGUAUGGACAUAUAUGCGGCAUUGAGAAUUUCCAUCGCUUUCUGUGGUCUGACUGAUGAACUUAGAGAGCCCUACUGUGAAAUUGUUAAGAGAAGUACGGCCAAGCCUCCUCACUGGUGGGCUAACAUUGCCCCACCGUCCAGGAAGUUUUGGGUUUUUUUCCCCCUAUGUCUCACCUCAGCACUCUCCUUGUUUUCUAUAAGACUGUUCUGGUUUGGGGGAGUCCAGAGCAUUUGCUUAGGAUUACAGUGAGUUAGACAUCAAUGAAUACAGUGCCUAACAAUGGAAUUUAUCCCUCUGUCACUCCUCUACCUCAGGGAAGAUGCAUGCUUAGUUCUCACUUUGAAGUAGAGCCACAUGAUCUUAGGAAAAGCCGAGAUUUCCUUUCUCGAUCUUGUCUUUAAUCCAGAGUCAUUUUAGAUAAUAUAUACACUAGCUUCAAUCCUGACUCUAAAGGCUGCUCUUCCUAGGGCCUGAGUUAGGCUGGACAGUUCUGACCCUGCUCAUUGCAGCUUCCUUUACUCUGCUCAAAAGCUGAAAUAGGCAGGGAGACCCUCUACCCCCCACUCUUCCAAACACAUGCAGCCCAGAUUCCUGUACCUUGACUCUUCUGCUCCUACUCAGGGUUCCCCAAGAUCCAGUGCUGUUCCCACACACUUGCCACUCUAAGCGCUGUUCCCACAUGCUCUCUUUUUCCAGUGCAACUCCUACUCCUCUGGGAACUCGCUUUGUUCGGCUGUUAAUGAUGCUAAUCAGUAGUGGUACCUGCUGAACUAACAAUUUCACAGUUCAGUUUUCUUGGUAGAGGAAAUGUCCUGAGACAAUGUCUUACCCCAGAGGCAGACAAAGGAGAGAGAUAUCUUGUACACAGGUCAUGUUGACCCUGAGAUCAGCCAGCACUUUGGUUCCUCCGGUUUUAUUACAGUUGCUCUGCCUUGCCUACCACACUGGCUACUUCCUAUAGCAUAAACCACCCAUACAGUGACCUCAGCAGAAAGUGUUGAUGGCUACUAAGAUUCUGCACUGCCAGCUGUAACUCUGCCUCCAGAGUUCCUUCUUGCCCGCUUCAUACUUUAAAGCAAGCAGCUAUCACCCCAGAGGAAAGGGUAGUUUCUGAUUAUCAUUGUAAUCUGAUUUUUAGGAUGAAAUGUUUUCUUUUUCUUGGGAGCUGAAUGAAAUAAUUGCUACCCCCUAAGGAAACAUGCCAAGAAAGAUCACCCUAAGUGAGCGGAGGGUGUACUAUCUAGGGAUAGAGAGAAGGAACAGCAGGAGGGGCAGGUGAGUCAGUGCCUAGCAGUAAUGCUGUGUCAGUCUCAGAGGACAAUAGCCCAGUUAGGACAAUAGAGUCAUAGCAUGCUUUGAGCUACAAAAAGGAAGGAGUUGGGGGAAGGGGUGUAGUUCUUUUGCGUUGGAGUACUGUAUCACCCCCCUCAGGGCAAUCUGAACUUUUGUUUUCGAACAACCGAACAACCGGGAAUCAGGGAUGACAUAAGGAAGACAAAAAAAAAAAAAAAAAAAAAAAAAAAAAAAAAAAACUUGGCACCUCAGCAGGCUCAUCCCUGUAGCAGGAUAUGGGGUAAGGUGCCAGCACUUUUUCUUCCCUCUCUGAACUGAAGAGGUGCUGUGAGGGCAAAACUCACUGAACCAAGGUAAACUGCAGUGGCUAGAAGUGUGUCCCUAAAAUACCCCAAACAAGGGAAUGUCCGUGAGUGAGGACACCAACCUAAGACCAGCAAGACCAACAUGGCACCCUGGGGAACGUGGUUACCUGACAGUCUUAGCCCUGGCUGCACUCUCCACCACAAUGGCAUCUGUGCCCAGCUACCCCAAAACGAUUUGCAAAGGACCCUCUUCUCCCCAAGCAGAAAACAGAAAAGAAACAGAGAAAUACCUGGGUGGGGAAGUUCCAUCGGCUUUAAAGGAAAGGAAGUCCCUGAGAGAAAGGAAUAAUGAGCUUUAAAAGGGAGUAGAGGGGACUGGGAAGGGAAGCUUCACAAAUCAGAGCUGUGGGAUUAAAUGGCAAGAAGUACCCUUGUGACUGUAGCGGCUUUGGUGACAUUCUGAGACGACAAUAAGCAUGUGAGUGUUCUGUUACACAGCUGGACUCCCAGAAGCCUGCCUGGCUAUAUGUGCCACAACUUGCUCUUUGCAUCCUCUAAAGAGACAGCUUGAGAGAAGUCUGGGGUCAUUCUAGUCACGUGAUUGCAAAGAAGUACCGGGGUGGCGUCCUCCCUGGGUGGGUUGAGGGCACAGAGCAUGGUAGAGAGAUGGGAAUCACUCUGGUACUUUUCCAUCAAGAGCCAAUCACAAGCAGGAUUGAUUUCCUGUUGUAGGACAGACACAAUGACAGUGCCCUAUGAAAUGCACCUGCUUUUGUCAUUGGGAGUAUAUUUAGAAUUACUGUUGCUUUUCUUGACUCUCCUAGUAGUAAGGCAGCUUCAGAGAUACAGAUAAUAAUAUCUCUCUAUGUCAGAUAUCUCUUUAUAUGAGAUCUCUGUAUGUAAGAGAUCUCUGUAUGCAAGAUCUCUAUCUGUAUGUAAGCUACAGAGGGUGAAACAACAACAACAACAAAUCUCAGUUUUCUUAAAUGGCUCAUUCAAGGCCAUGAAUAAACUAAUAUAAGAAACAAGAAUUCCUCUAUGUUAAAGUUUUUAUUACAGUCUUCUAGUCCUACUGGAUAAAUCUUAUAUUGAGGGUAUCCUUAUGAAAAUAGCUAAUUUAUAAGGGUUUAUCCUGGUGUGAAAUUGAGGAGAAGGAGCCACAGUACUGUAUUCUAGAGGUAGGGUCCUCCUUGCCUCACAUAGGGAGAGAAAGGUCACUGGAAAGGAUCCCAGGUCAGUAAAAUCACGUGGUCAGUAGCUUUAACUGGAACAUUCUUUAAGUAGCAAUAAUACAAAGGGAAAGCCAGGGGAUAAGGUAAAAUAAAUUAUCAUAAAAUAAUCAGAGACAAGGUUGGGUAUAAGCCUAUUCAAACACAAACUUUUCAAAAAUGGGCAUUAGAAUAUUUUGUUCUCCAGAUAAAUUUCUCCCACUCAUUUCAGUUUCAACAUUUUCCCCCCUUCAGAAGCCCAAAAGAACUGAAGAAAUGUCCUUGCUAUACAUUAUAUGAAUGUUAGAAGAUAAAAUCGUGCUUUAAAAAAAUCCCAAUUUCCUUAAGUGUCCUCAUCCUUCCUUAAUAUUUGCAUAAAAUAAAUAAACAAAAGCAUUAGUCAUACAUCCACCAAUUGCAGGCUGGUUUCUUGGUCUCAUUCUUCAUCAUGGGCCACAUCUCAUGGUAAACGUCUCCAAGCUUGCAGUCAAACAUCAGUUCUUUUC
This is a non-coding RNA of Mus caroli (Ryukyu mouse), 3934 nucleotides long. The record is from RefSeq and is a predicted model, not a curated record. Lineage: Eukaryota; Metazoa; Chordata; Mammalia; Rodentia; Muridae.